UGAAGGUUACAUUCUUUUGCCUAUCAUACAUGCCAAUAACAAUCAAGAAUAAUAGAGUUAAGAAAAUUCAUCUAUUUCUUAUUUAAUGAAAAAAGACCGAUCUAGACAAGAUCUAUCUAUCCAUUACUUAGUUUUAACUUCUACCCAUGAUUAAAUCUAUGCUCUGAUAUCACUAAGUAUCACGUCCCAAAUCUAGAAUAUGGCAUGGCCAUGCUACCAUGGA
This 223-nucleotide long non-coding RNA is filed under the name Elaeis guineensis (African oil palm). RNAcentral describes it as "long non-coding RNA (EGUI_LNC017887)". The record is from RNAcentral. Lineage: Eukaryota; Viridiplantae; Streptophyta; Magnoliopsida; Arecales; Arecaceae.